Molecule: long non-coding RNA, 2419 nt
Filed under: Helianthus annuus (common sunflower)
Lineage: Eukaryota; Viridiplantae; Streptophyta; Magnoliopsida; Asterales; Asteraceae
Description: hypothetical non coding rna
Source: RNAcentral
UUUUAAGAAACUGUCGACUCAUCCAGCCUACAUGCACGAAGGGCUACCCUAUGAAGUAGGGUGACCCCUCGCGUAGCGCGACGCCCAUGGGGGUACCCCUCGCGCUACGCGACGGGGGUCAAAUUUCGUAUAUAAAUAGGGGUGUCUGGGACUUGAAUUUGAGAGUUGAAACGACGUAAAACGUCAAAAUACACGCUGAGUUAUCAGCUAUAUACUACACAAACACACACAGAUCUCAAAUCGCUGCCGCAAUCAGGGUAAUAACUCAAUCGCUAUUACGAUUCAUUUUCCGGGAUCAAUAUAUCCAAAAGAAUGUCUAAGUGUCGCCCACAUUGGGUUACGCUUUGUCGUUUGUCGAUAAUUCGAUAAAUGAGUUGAAGCGUUAUACUUUGUCGUUUGUCGAUAAUUCGAUAAAUGAGUUGAAGUAUUAUACUUUGUCGUUUGUCGUUAAUACGAUAAAUGAGUUGAAGUAUUGCACUUUGUCAUUCAUUGUGAGAAUUUGAUCUCGUGAGUUAUCGUAACUGCUGUAUUGAUCAUUAACCCGGUUUUGUGUGCAUCAUUUCCUAAAUUAGGAUUAUUAGUCUUAAUACACUUACAAUCAAAGUAGAUGCUAAUUCUCAGAAGAAUCUGAACCAUGAAGCUUGUUAAUUCAAAUACUGCAUGCUUAUAUUGUGAGUUAUUCCUCUUUUGUAAAUUCUUUUCUCACAGUUUAAUUAUAACUUACAGUGAUUAAGUUUAUGUAAUCACCAAGUUACAACCGGUAUGUGGGGUAUUGUGCACAUUACUUGAUAAUCGUCACCAUUGGGGCAGCCAUUGGGUGAUAUGACCAUAAUCACAGACACCAUUGGACGUAUGGGCCAAUGGUCGAGUGGUAAAGUACUGUGGGUAGAUUGGUUGAUAUCAGAAACAUUGUAAAAGAUCUUAACACUGUGAAUUAUAACAAAUGUGUCGUUUUCAGUAAAAUGAAUAAUUCACUCAGUAUUUCCCGCUGACAAAAUCUUUUUAAAACGCGUUUCAGGUAAUUACAAUAGAUUGGAGUAAGGAUUGGAUCCGACACUGAAGGACUUCAAGAAGUGGCUUAUUUUCAAAUUAAGAAAUAUUGUUUUAUUAAAAGCUACCUUUGUAAAACUUGGAAUUUAUUCCAUCCAUUUAAAUAAAAUCCGGUGUUUCUAAACUCUGAUAUUUUUCCUAACUCACGGUCCUGAUGAAAUUUCCGCUGCAAUGUUUUUUUUAAAUAACCACCGGUACCACUGGACUGCUCACGGCACCGAUUCCGGCUAAAUGGGGUCGGGGGUCGUGACAUUAGGAGUCCAAAAGAAAGUAGAGGGAAGCAAAGAAGAUAGAAAGGAAGUUGUUUUAAGCAACACAUAGUGAAUAAGCUCCUAAACUAUAGACUAGGCAAGGCAUUCCUAAUUCCCUAUAGUUAUGGCUCUGAUACCAAUCUGGUAUCAGAGUAUUCCUACUAUAGACUAGGGAAAAGUAUAGCAAUCUUCCUAAUUACCUAUAGUUAUGGCUCUGAUACCAAUCUUGUAUCAGAGUAUUCCUACUAUAGACUAGGGAAAAGUAUAGCAAUCUUCCUAAUUCCCUAUAGUUAUGGCUCUGAUACCAAUCUGGUAUCAGAGUACUCCUACUAUAGACCAGGGAAAAGUAUAGCAAUUCUACCUAAUUCCCUAUAGUUAUGGCUCUGAUACCAAUCUGUCACACCCCAACCGAUGGCGGAAACAUCAGGGUGAGACAUACAAAUUGCUCAAAAUAACAUAACACUAAAUGUGACAAUAUAAAUUAAAUCAUUUUAUUAAAUUCUAAAGUAAGGUACAUUGUCUCAAAUAAACAAACAUAAAUUCAACAUUAACUAAAAUGCUAAAAUGGGUUUCUAAUGCCAUCCUAGCUUUUCUUGAUUCUUGAAUAGUCAACCUGCAAUAUGUAUUAAAAUAAAAUCAACAAAAGCAUGUUGGCGAGUAUACAAGUUUUCAUACAUAGCAUAAUACGUGUUUAAAUUGUUGCUCAUAUCCAAAUGUGAAAUACAAUAUCAUAUUGACAGUAUACUCGAAAUGAUGUUACUCUACGUGUCCAAACCAAAGUUUAACGCAAUUAACGUGCCUACCCAAAAGAGUAUGGGUGGUUUUAACAUAGAUUAACCUAACAAUACUCGUUAAUAUAACGAGAGGGGCGUUUCUCAACCUAUAGCGCUACCAUUGUUAGGGGAAGCUUGCAAAGUUAAUGAACACAUAGUCAUGAGAGUUUACAGUAGCAUAACAUGUCUAACAUGAUUAAAAUGUAUCACAUAGAGUAUGGAUAGAGUGUGCAUAAAAUGUUUGAUGUGAUGGUGUAGUUUGAUAAGUAAUACAUAUUGCACCCAAAAAGUGUAAAACGAAAAUGGGUCUUGUAUACUCACCUUGGAUUGCGUUGCGUUUUCUUG